GAUGAACGCUGGCGGCGUGCCUAAUACAUGCAAGUCGAGCGAACAGACGAGGAGCUUGCUCCUCUGACGUUAGCGGCGGACGGGUGAGUAACACGUGGAUAACCUACCUAUAAGACUGGGAUAACUUCGGGAAACCGGAGCUAAUACCGGAUAAUAUAUUGAACCGCAUGGUUCAAUAGCGAAAGACGGUUUUGCUGUCACUUAUAGAUGGAUCCGCGCCGCAUUAGCUAGUUGGUAAGGUAACGGCUUACCAAGGCAACGAUGCGUAGCCGACCUGAGAGGGUGAUCGGCCACACUGGAACUGAGACACGGUCCAGACUCCUACGGGAGGCAGCAGUAGGGAAUCUUCCGCAAUGGGCGAAAGCCUGACGGAGCAACGCCGCGUGAGUGAUGAAGGUCUUCGGAUCGUAAAACUCUGUUAUUAGGGAAGAACAAAUGUGUAAGUAACUAUGCACGUCUUGACGGUACCUAAUCAGAAAGCCACGGCUAACUACGUA
This 497-nucleotide ribosomal RNA is filed under the name uncultured bacterium. RNAcentral describes it as "partial 16S ribosomal RNA". It matches the Rfam family "Bacterial small subunit ribosomal RNA", at positions 28 to 507 of the family's 1533-position model. The record is from RNAcentral.